Molecule: ribosomal RNA, 273 nt
Filed under: uncultured bacterium
Lineage: Bacteria
Description: partial 16S ribosomal RNA
Rfam family: Bacterial small subunit ribosomal RNA
Source: RNAcentral
UACGGAGGAUCCAAGCGUUAUCCGGAUUUAUUGGGUUUAAAGGGUGCGUAGGUGGCUUUUUAAGUCAGGGGUGAAAGACGGUAGCUUAACUAUCGCAGUGCCUUUGAUACUGAAGAGCUUGAAUGAACUAGAGGUAGGCGGAAUGUGACAAGUAGCGGUGAAAUGCAUAGAUAUGUCACAGAACACCAAUUGCGAAGGCAGCUUACUAUGGUUUUAUUGACACUGAGGCACGAAAGCGUGGGGAUCAAACAGGAUUAGAAACCCCCGUAGUCC